GAACUCAAAGUCAAUCUCAUCAUGUGUUGGCCCUUGAGAAGACAAAUAGUAGGCAGUGACAGUGCCAGCAGAAUUUCCAGCAACAAGCUUGAGCUGCAUAUCAAUUCUACCAAACAAAUACUCAUUCCUGGAUUGAAACCCAGACCCUGAAACCCUAUCUAGCGACAGAGAAAGAAGCUUCCCUCCACUAAAGAUCUUUGCACGCUCACCACCCCAUGUUAACUCAAAAUCUUCAAAGAAGUUUCCAGCUGAGGCACCCAUUACCAUGCAACUCAGCACCACAGCCACCCCAGCCACAAAAAAGCAAUUACAACAAACACCCAUUUUUUUUUUCUUUCUUCUUCUUCUUCUCGUUAUGUUCUUUGUUUGUUUCUUGAAUUUCUCUCUUUUUCUUGAUGACGAUGGAAAGAAAAGGAGGGUUGAAGAACUGUGUACAAAAAAGGAAGAAGAGAUGUUUGUUUUUGAUGGCUUGGGUGUUUUCUUUCUUAAAUUAAGGCCAUUGAUUACCAGUUGAUGAUGCAGUUUGAGAGAAGACUCCAGGCCUGAAAGUGGCUGAAAAGUGAUUAGAUUAUUACUGUAAAGAUUGAGUUUGCUUUGUUAAUUAGUGUGAAAUAUGAGACAUUAUGAAUGGAAACACAAAGAAGACUACAAAUCUGAUAUCAAAAAAAAAAAAAAGGA
Molecule: unclassified non-coding RNA, 678 nt
Filed under: Hevea brasiliensis (rubber tree)
Lineage: Eukaryota; Viridiplantae; Streptophyta; Magnoliopsida; Malpighiales; Euphorbiaceae
Source: RNAcentral